GUUUUUUUUUUUGGUGAGUGACGGAGAGGCUUAAUAAAGAUGUUUAUCUUAGCUAAAGUUUAUUGGUUUCAUUAAAUUUAAUCACUUUUAUACCU
This 95-nucleotide small RNA is filed under the name Arabidopsis thaliana (thale cress). RNAcentral describes it as "ATSL146560". Lineage: Eukaryota; Viridiplantae; Streptophyta; Magnoliopsida; Brassicales; Brassicaceae. The record is from RNAcentral.